RNAcentral lists this ribosomal RNA (442 nucleotides) under uncultured bacterium. RNAcentral describes it as "partial 16S ribosomal RNA". It matches the Rfam family "Bacterial small subunit ribosomal RNA", at positions 338 to 795 of the family's 1533-position model. The record is from RNAcentral.
CCUACGGGAGGCAGCAGUGGGGGAUAUUGCACAAUGGGGGGAACCCUGAUGCAGCGACGCCGCGUGAGUGAAGAAGUAAUUCGUUAUGUAAAGCUCUAUCAGCAGGGAAGAAUAAAUGACGGUACCUGAGUAAGAAGCCCCCGCUAACUACGUGCCAGCAGCCGCGGUAAUACGUAGGGGGCAAGCGUUAUCCGGAUUUACUGGGUGUAAAGGGAGCGUAGACGGCGAUGCAAGCCAGAUGUGAAAGCCCGCGGCUCAACUGCGGUAGUGCAUUUGGAACUGUAUGGCUGGAGUGCAGGAGAGGCAGGCGGAAUUCCUAGUGUAGCGGUGAAAUGCGUAGAUAUUAGGAGGAACUCCGAUUGCGAAGGCAGCAUACCGGCGCUCAACUGACGCUCAUGCACGAAAGCGUGGGUAUCGAACAGGAUUAGAUACCCUUGUAGUC